AAGAAAUUAAAAGUCGAACAGACUUAAAAUUAUAAAAUCUACUUUAUAAUUUAUUCUUAAUUCAACAUCGAGGUCAUAAUAAAUUUUGUUAAUAUGAUCUUUUAAAAAUUUUUAUG
This 116-nucleotide ribosomal RNA is filed under the name Aleurodicus dispersus. Its description in RNAcentral is "partial 16S ribosomal RNA". The record is from RNAcentral. Lineage: Eukaryota; Metazoa; Arthropoda; Insecta; Hemiptera; Aleyrodidae.